Molecule: ribosomal RNA, 422 nt
Filed under: uncultured archaeon
Lineage: Archaea
Description: partial 16S ribosomal RNA
Rfam family: Archaeal small subunit ribosomal RNA
Source: RNAcentral
CUACGGGUGGCUGCAGACGCGAAAACUCUACAAUGCACGAAAGUGUGAUAGGGGGAUCCCUCGUGCUGGCGUAAUACGUCAGCUUUUCUGGAGUGUAAGGUGCUUCAGGAAUAAGGGGUGGGCAAGACCGGUGCCAGCCGCCGCGGUAACACCGGCGCCUCGAGUGGUAGUCGCGAUUAUUGGGCCUAAAGCAUCCGUAGCCGGUUUAGUAAGUCUUCUGUGAAAUCUCAUGGCUUAACUGUGGGGCGGGCAGAAGAUACUGCUGAGCUUGAGACCGGGAGGAGCUAGAGGAAUGCCCUGGGGAGCGGUAAAAUGCUGUAAUCCGGGGUGGACCAUCAGUGGCGAAGGCGUCUAGCUAGAACGGGUCUGACGGUGAGGGAUGAAAGCUAGGGGAGCAAACCGGAUUAGAUACCCCCGUAGUC